CCUACGAGGGGCAGCAGUGAGGAAUAUUGGUCAAUGGGCGCGAGCCUGAACCAGCCAAGUAGCGUGAAGGAUGACUGCCCUACGGGUUGUAAACUUCUUUUAUAAAGGAAUAAAGUGCGGCAAGUGUGCCUUUUUGUAUGUACUUUAUGAAUAAGGAUCGGCUAACUCCGUGCCAGCAGCCGCGGUAAUACGGAGGAGCCGAGCGUUAUCCGGAUUUAUUGGGUGUAAAGGGAGCGUAGAUGGGUUGUUAAGUCAGUUGUGAAAGUUUGCGGCUCAAUCCUAAAAUUGCAUUUGAUACAGGCAGUCUUGAGUACAGGUGAGGUAGGCGGAAUUCGUGGUGUAGCGGUGAAAUGCUUAGAUAUCACGAAGAACUCCGAUUGCGAAGGCAGCUUACUAAACUGCCACUGACAUUGAUGCUCGAAAGUGUGGGUAUCAAACAGGAUUAGAUACCCGGGUAGUC
Molecule: ribosomal RNA, 460 nt
Filed under: uncultured bacterium
Lineage: Bacteria
Description: partial 16S ribosomal RNA
Rfam family: Bacterial small subunit ribosomal RNA
Source: RNAcentral